RNAcentral lists this unclassified non-coding RNA (395 nucleotides) under uncultured fungus. Its description in RNAcentral is "sequence contains ITS1". The stretch from base 1 to 105 matches the Rfam family "5.8S ribosomal RNA", at positions 50 to 154 of the family's 154-position model. Lineage: Eukaryota; Fungi. The record is from RNAcentral.
GAAAUGCGAUACGUAAUGUGAAUUGCAGAAUUCAGUGAAUCAUCGAAUCUUUGAACGCAUAUUGCGCUCUUUGGUAUUCCGAAGAGCAUGCUUGUUUGAGUAUCAGUAAACACCUCAACACUCUCGAUUUGUUUCGAAUGAGUAUUGGAUUUGAGCAAACCCAACGCCUUUCUGCUAGCCAGACUUGCGGCGGGUUGCUUGAAAUGCAGGUGCAGCUGAGUUUUCUUCUGAGCUAAUAGCAUACUUAAUUAGUCCCGUAAAAAGGAUUAUUAAUCUGCUGAAGCUUACACCAAAGGAAGAGCUCUCUGGCUGACUGAUGCAGAAUUACGCAUAGCCGGUAAAACGGCUUUGUAAAACUCGAUCUCAAAUCAAGUAAGACUACCCGCUGAACUUAA